CAGAGACAUCAGGGCAAGGAGGCCGAGGGCAAGCCGGGCCGAGUGAGAAAUGCUUGAAACAGGCAAAAAUGAAAGCGCAGUCAGGGUCUCAGCCAACAGCUGAUCUACGGAGAAGACAUCCCACAGGCCAGGAGCAACUGGGUAAUCAUCGUAAGUGAGGUCAGCCGCUGGCCCGAGUUGCCAUGGCAACAGAACCUGAUCGCUUCCAGCAGCAGCAAGGGCUGGAGGAGGCUCCUAAGGAACAAGCCCCCCAGGCCUCUCUUCUCCUCCCCCAGAGAAGGGCUGAACUACACCGGCCAGUGUCUGCGUUCCCCCUCUGCGCCCCAAGUGGCAGACCAAGAGUCCUUGGGCGACACCCCAGCCUAGGUUCACAGGGGGUCCAUCUUAGGGGAGAGAGAC
Long non-coding RNA from Bubalus bubalis (water buffalo), 399 nucleotides. RefSeq lists it as uncharacterized. The transcript is spliced from 2 exons. Lineage: Eukaryota; Metazoa; Chordata; Mammalia; Artiodactyla; Bovidae. The record is from RefSeq and is a predicted model, not a curated record.